UCCUUGGUAGCUCAGACGGUAAAGUGUCUGCCUGCAGUGUGGGAGACCCAGGUUCGAUCCCUGGGUUGGGAA
RNAcentral lists this transfer RNA (72 nucleotides) under Ovis aries (sheep). It matches the Rfam family "tRNA". From Rfam's summary of the family: Transfer RNA (tRNA) molecules are approximately 80 nucleotides in length. Their secondary structure includes four short double-helical elements and three loops (D, anti-codon, and T loops). The record is from Rfam by way of RNAcentral. Lineage: Eukaryota; Metazoa; Chordata; Mammalia; Artiodactyla; Bovidae.